GACAGAGGGUGCAAACGUUGUUCGGAAUUACUGGGCGUAAAGCGCGUGUAGGCGGCUCGGCAAGUCGGGUGUGAAAGCCCUGGGCUCAACCCAGGAAGUGCACUCGAAACUGCCGGGCUUGAGUUCCGGAGAGGAAGGCGGAAUUCUCGGUGUAGAGGUGAAAUUCGUAGAUAUCGAGAGGAACACCGGUGGCGAAGGCGGCCUUCUGGACGGUGACUGACGCUGAGACGCGAAAGCGUGGGGAGCAAACAGG
RNAcentral lists this ribosomal RNA (253 nucleotides) under uncultured bacterium. RNAcentral's name for it is "partial 16S ribosomal RNA". It matches the Rfam family "Bacterial small subunit ribosomal RNA", at positions 524 to 776 of the family's 1533-position model. The record is from RNAcentral.